GGAUAACUCCGGGAAACCGGAGCUAAUACCGGAUAGUUCCUUGAACCGCAUGGUUCAAGGAUGAAAGACGGUUUCGGCUGUCACUUACAGAUGGACCCGCGGCGCAUUAGCUAGUUGGUGGGGUAAUGGCUCACCAAGGCGACGAUGCGUAGCCGACCUGAGAGGGUGAUCGGCCACACUGGGACUGAGACACGGCCCAGACUCCUACGGGAGGCAGCAGUAGGGAAUCUUCCGCAAUGGACGAAAGUCUGACGGAGCAACGCCGCGUGAGUGAUGAAGGUUUUCGGAUCGUAAAGCUCUGUUGUUAGGGAAGAACAAGUGCGAGAGUAACUGCUCGCACCUUGACGGUACCUAACCAGAAAGCCACGGCUAACUACGUGCCAGCAGCCGCGGUAAUACGUAGGUGGCAAGCGUUGUCCGGAAUUAUUGGGCGUAAAGGGCUCGCAGGCGGUUUCUUAAGUCUGAUGUGAAAGCCCCCGGCUCAACCGGGGAGGGUCAUUGGAAACUGGGAAACUUGAGUGCAGAAGAGGAGAGUGGAAUUCCACGUGUAGCGGUGAAAUGCGUAGAGAUGUGGAGGAACACCAGUGGCGAAGGCGACUCUCUGGUCUGUAACUGACGCUGAGGAGCGAAAGCGUGGGGAGCGAACAGGAUUAGAUACCCUGGUAGUCCACGCCGUAAACGAUGAGUGCUAAGUGUUAGGGGGUUUCCGCCCCUUAGUGCUGCAGCUAACGCAUUAAGCACUCCGCCUGGGGAGUACGGUCGCAAGACUGAAACUCAAAGGAAUUGACGGGGGCCCGCACAAGCGGUGGAGCAUGUGGUUUAAUUCGAAGCAACGCGAAGAACCUUACCAGGUCUUGACAUCCUCUGACAACCCUAGAGAUAGGGCUUUCCCUUCGGGGACAGAGUGACAGGUGGUGCAUGGUUGUCGUCAGCUCGUGUCGUGAGAUGUUGGGUUAAGUCCCGCAACGAGCGCAACCCUUGAUCUUAGUUGCCAGCAUUUAGUUGGGCACUCUAAGGUGACUGCCGGUGACAAACCGGAGGAAGGUGGGGAUGACGUCAAAUCAUCAUGCCCCUUAUGACCUGGGCUACACACGUGCUACAAUGGACAGAACAAAGGGCUGCGAGACCGCAAGGUUUAGCCAAUCCCAUAAAUCUGUUCUCAGUUCGGUACGUUCAUAGGUA
Molecule: ribosomal RNA, 1182 nt
Filed under: Bacillus pumilus
Lineage: Bacteria; Bacillati; Bacillota; Bacilli; Caryophanales; Bacillaceae
Description: bacterial SSU rRNA
Rfam family: Bacterial small subunit ribosomal RNA
Source: RNAcentral